RNAcentral lists this long non-coding RNA (1706 nucleotides) under Meriones unguiculatus (Mongolian gerbil). RNAcentral describes it as "lncRNA (ENSMUGG00000023975.1)". Lineage: Eukaryota; Metazoa; Chordata; Mammalia; Rodentia; Muridae. The record is from RNAcentral.
CAGGCUCCUUGGCCACUCUUCGUUUGCCUAACCCCCCAUCCCAGUCAGUCUGUUAACUUGAUGCUUGCUUCUAGUUCCGUGUGAGUAGGAAGGAGAGCCAUGGACCAGCUGUUCACAGUCAUUCAUGGGUCCCAGGAGGAAGGAGAUACAGUCCGGGGUGUGCUCUUGAUCUUUCAAGGAAGAGUUUCGAAAGAGAUGAGAUGGCUUGGAAAUCUUUUUCCUCAGCUUACGAAACGUUAAGAUGAAAAGAAGAAGCUAAAGUGGAGACAUUGGCUGAGAAGGGCUGAGGAUGUGCCAUGCUGGAUGUUUCCAAAGGUUAAUAUACUCUCAGCCUAAACACGGAAGACAAGCAGAGGAGAGAAACACAGAAGAAGAUGGAGCGACUCCCUUUGCAAGAGAACUGAAUGCAGGCCAAGUCCAGGCACAAGGAAGUCUUCGAUCAAGAAAGCUCUCUUCUACCAAUGACCCCCCAUGGACACAAACUCCUGGAACCUCGACUGCUUGCCUUUCAUCACGAUGGUCCAAGCCAGUUUCCGCCUCUCCUUCCCUCAAAUCCCCGCCUGUCCUCAAAACUUGCCACCCGUCCUUUUCAGCAGGGGUGCAGCGGGCAGCACUUGCUAAUGCCGUCCAGGACAGUACUGAGCAGCACUUGGUAAGAUCAGUUAAUAACGCUACGGAAAUUACCCAGCUACUACUUGAUGAAGGUGGGAAAGAGCAAUCCCUCGCUGAGUACUUGCACAAGAAGAGCGAUGCCCUGCCCACCUAGCCCUCAGAACGGGCACAGCGGCCAGCACUCUGUGAGCUCUGUGAAAACGCCUGAUGACAUGAGUGACGGGGUGGACGUCUGAGGCCCAGGAGAUGGAGUGCUAUGGGAGGCUGUUGGACUGCAGCUGUGUAUGUCAACUGUGUACACGGCUUUUCUCCCACCUUGGUUUUUUUUAUUCUUAUUUUUAUUCAUGUGUUUAACUUGAGGCAAAGUUUCCCUAUAUCGCCCAGGCUGGCCUCAGACUUGCUUAUACAUCUCUGGCUGACCUCAAUCUUCCUGCGUUUGUCUUUGUAGUAUUAGAAUAAUAGAGGUGCACCAGCACGCCCAGCCUCACUUUUCUUUAGCAGAGCGCUGGUGAUGUCUCUGCGGUAGGUUUUGACCUAUUUUUGGAAUGUGGACUUCCCCUUCAACAUUCUGAUGAAAGCUAUGUACCUUCUCCAAACCAAAAUAUAAAUAUAGUUCAAGGACUGCAGGUUAAAAAAAGAAAAAAAACACAACUGAGACGUUCUGUGUCAUCUUGAACAGACAGUACUGAUGUGAAAAAAAGGCAGAACACAGAGUACUCUAAAGGGUAUCUGAAAAGAUUCAUUCCAGCCCGGGCUUCAUACGAAUGGGAAGUACUGACUCAUUUGUGCUUCAUGUAUACUCUAUAAGCAGAGCCUGAAGGUAUUUCAUAUAAAUAUAGUGCCUGUAUUUUGAUUAUGAGGUCAGGGUCACAAUUAGGUGGUAUUAUGCUGACAUUCAAAAGUUACAGAUUUUGCAUAAGGAAUGCUCAACUGGGAUCACCUUUAAUAUAAAGAAGAUGCCUGGAGCUUAAGUAGCCUUCAGUAUGAGCUUUGCAGCCCCUUUCAAAGGCUUGAUCUCGUAACUGGUCUUCGACUGCCACUGCCUAGCCUUUGCUUGCAUACACCUUUCUUGGAUACACUUGUUUAACACUGAG